AGUCACUGACAUUAGAUACCCGGGUAGUCCAGGGUGUAAACGCUGCAGACUUGGUGUUGGAAGUCCUUUGGGGGCAUUCAGUGCCGGAGAGAAGUUGUUAAGUCUGCUACUUGGGGAGUACGUCCGCAAGGAUGAAACUUAAAGGAAUUGGCGGGGGAGCACCGCAACGGGAGGAGCGUGCGGUUUAAUUGGAUUCAACGCCGAAAAACUCACCAGCAGCGACUGUUACAUGAAAGCCAGGUUGAUGACCUUACUAGAUUUUCAG
Molecule: ribosomal RNA, 265 nt
Filed under: uncultured archaeon
Lineage: Archaea
Description: partial 16S ribosomal RNA
Rfam family: Archaeal small subunit ribosomal RNA
Source: RNAcentral